UGGAAAUAGAAGCAGCUCAGUGGU
This 24-nucleotide non-coding RNA is filed under the name Cricetulus griseus (Chinese hamster). Lineage: Eukaryota; Metazoa; Chordata; Mammalia; Rodentia; Cricetidae. The record is from RNAcentral.